UUGAAUGUUAAGCUUGCGAAUACCUAUGAAUUGUCAUGAUAAUUGCAAGUUCUGAAAACGCGAAGUUGACCAAUCGAUCUAUGUAAUGAGAUGUAUGGUUUUGUUUUGUGUUAUUAAUUUAAUUUUACUUGAGGACAAGCAAAAGUUCAAGUUUGGGGGUGUGUUAAGUGUAUAUUUAUACACUUAAUUGUACCUUUUAAUUGGAGCUUUUGAUGUGUUUUUACGAUAAUUGGUGCUUAAUAUGGCUAUUAUUUGUAUUUUAGGUGCAAAUUGAAGAAUUGGCAACUUUUGG
RNAcentral lists this long non-coding RNA (292 nucleotides) under Erythranthe guttata (spotted monkey flower). RNAcentral describes it as "long non-coding RNA (EGUT_LNC000046)". Lineage: Eukaryota; Viridiplantae; Streptophyta; Magnoliopsida; Lamiales; Phrymaceae. The record is from RNAcentral.